CACUAAGCAGUAGUGAACUAUGAAUGGGGGUGGUGCCUCUCAUCUUGGUUUCAGGUCAGGGAAAAUGAAACUUAAAUCCUCAGCAUCACAAUAUCAUCAACGGAGGCAGCAGAGACAGACAGGACAAAGUCACAGACACCCUCUUCAUUGAGUUUAAUUGAGUUCAGGAUAAACAACAGAGGAAAGUACAACAAAAUGAUGACUUCAGCUCCUGAUAAGCCAGAUUGUGGGCCGAUGGUGGUUACUGUUGGAUUCUUGACGUUGGUCAUUGGAAUCGCUGUUGGAGUGAAACUGAAGGUGGCCACAGACCAGUUCAUUCAACAACAUCAAUGGAAGAUCAUUGCCUUUGUAACUGUUUUUAUUGUUGUUUGUAUCAUGGUGCUUCUGAUCUUGAAGAAACAGGAAGUAUAGAGGGAUAUUUAAGGAAUGACCCAUACAAUUAGCAAACACUUCUCAGUCAGUCAAACACAACUCCCUCUGGAUAAGAACAUCUGCUAAAUGACUGAACUGUAAACAACAUUUGGAUAAAAGUGAUUCAUAGUAGGUUAGAUGUAUUUGUCUAAGAUUGUAUUUGUCAUCCUAUUUUAAUGUGACCAAGAUCCCUUUCCAUCUCUGACCAUCUGUGUGUGUGCAAAAGGAUCUGGUCAGAGCUGCACAGAGUACUCCUGUGUUUCAGAGACCUACAGUGGUGACUCAUCAUAAAGCCACAUACUACAUUCCAUAUUGGCCCCUAUAUAUCUGAUAUGAUUUAGCUCUUUAACUGGUUUAAUUAAAAACCACUAUCUCAAUUAGAACAUGUACAUUCUUUUGGGAAAUCAGAGAUCAGUAAAUCAUAGGAGGAACUA
Molecule: long non-coding RNA, 845 nt
Organism: Oncorhynchus gorbuscha (pink salmon)
Lineage: Eukaryota; Metazoa; Chordata; Actinopteri; Salmoniformes; Salmonidae
Exons: 3
Source: RefSeq, a predicted model, not a curated record